RNAcentral lists this ribosomal RNA (421 nucleotides) under uncultured bacterium. RNAcentral describes it as "partial 16S ribosomal RNA". It matches the Rfam family "Bacterial small subunit ribosomal RNA", at positions 360 to 773 of the family's 1533-position model. The record is from RNAcentral.
AAUAUGGGACAAUGGGUGCAACCCUGAUCCAGCCUUGCCGCGCGUUUGAAGAAUGUCUUCUUUUUNUAAAGCACUUUAAGUUGGGANGAAGGGCUUUAGGUUAAUAUUCUGAAGUUUUGACGUUACCAACAGAAUAAGCACCGGCUAACUCUGUGCCAUCAGCCGCGGUAAUACAGAGGGUGCAAGCGUUAAUCGGAAUUACUGGGCGUAAAGCGCGCGUAGGUGGUUCAGUAAGAUGGGUGUGAAAUCCCCGGGCUUAACCUGGGAACUGCUUUCAUAACUGCUGAGCUAGAGUACGGUAGAGGGUAGUGGAAUUUCCUGUGUAGCGGUGAAAUGCGUAGAUAUAGGAAGGAACACCAGUGGCGAAGGCGACUACCUGGACUGAUACUGACACUGAGGUGCGAAAGCGUGGGGAGCAAAC